UAGGGAAUCUUCGGCAAUGGACGAAAGUCUGACCGAGCAACGCCGCGUGAGUGAAGAAGGUUUUCGGAUCGUAAAACUCUGUUGUUAGAGAAGAACAAGGACGUUAGUAACUGAACGUCCCCUGACGGUAUCUAACCAGAAAGCCACGGCUAACUACGUGCCAGCAGCCGCGGUAAUACGUAGGUGGCAAGCGUUGUCCGGAUUUAUUGGGCGUAAAGCGAGCGCAGGCGGUUUCUUAAGUCUGAUGUGAAAGCCCCCGGCUCAACCGGGGAGGGUCAUUGGAAACUGGGAGACUUGAGUGCAGAAGAGGAGAAUGGAAUUCCAUGUGUAGCGGUGAAAUGCGUAGAUAUAGGGAGGAACACCAGUGGCGAAGGCGGCUCUCUGGUCUGUAACUGACGCUGAGGCUCGAAAGCGUGGGGAGCAAACAGG
This 429-nucleotide ribosomal RNA is filed under the name Gemmatimonadota bacterium. RNAcentral's name for it is "Gemmatimonadetes bacterium partial 16S ribosomal RNA". It matches the Rfam family "Bacterial small subunit ribosomal RNA", at positions 355 to 776 of the family's 1533-position model. The record is from RNAcentral. Lineage: Bacteria; Pseudomonadati; Gemmatimonadota.